GAAAGGGUAUCAAGAACUGCUAACUCACUCUACUGGCACCAACCUGUCAGACCUUUCC
This 58-nucleotide transfer RNA is filed under the name Rhampholeon spectrum. RNAcentral's name for it is "tRNA-Ser". Lineage: Eukaryota; Metazoa; Chordata; Lepidosauria; Squamata; Chamaeleonidae. The record is from RNAcentral.